This is a long non-coding RNA of Suricata suricatta (meerkat), 569 nucleotides long. RefSeq lists it as uncharacterized. The transcript is spliced from 3 exons. The record is from RefSeq and is a predicted model, not a curated record. NCBI's taxonomy places the organism in Eukaryota, Metazoa, Chordata, Mammalia, Carnivora, Herpestidae.
CCUCCAUCCUUUCCUCUCCUGUGGCCUGAACUGAGACCCAAAUUCUGCAUGAUUUUAGGGAGGUUUGAGGAUGUUUGCCACAGGAUGGCGGACUGGUGACUGAUGUCCUUGCAGCCAGAGGCCAGCUGUCCAGUGGACACCUCGGUUCACUGAGUCCCUGCCAAGAAAACUCACCUGGAGGACAGAAUUCUAACAGCAAGUGUGGGACAAGCACCCCAGCUCGAGUCCUCUCCUCCCAGGGGUAGACAAGAGCCCAUCCUGGUUCUCUGUGGGCUCUAGAACCAGCCACGUGGAUACCAGAUGACUCCAGUCACCAAGCGAGUCUGUGACGGGCCAGGCAGGCAGGCCGGGGAUGUGGACUCCCAGGCCCCUGUGGCCUCCUCAGCCUCCCCCAAGGGGUUUCAAUACACCUGCAGCAAGACCCUGGAGGGCCUGGGAUCCCAGCUCCACCUGAGUAGGGGAGGCUCCUGCCUGUCAGGGAAGAGCGGGGCUCCGAGAGGAGCAAGCUUCUGGGGUGGCUGUGAAACGUCUGGUGACAAUAUUUGUGUCUAAAAAUAUAGCAGCCGAGA